ACAGCAGUAGCCGCGGUAAUACAGAGGGUGCGAGCGUUAAUCGGAUUUACUGGGCGUAAAGCGUGCGUAGGCGGCUUCUUAAGUCGGAUGUGAAAUCCCUGAGCUUAACUUAGGAAUUGCAUUCGAUACUGGGAAGCUAGAGUAUGGGAGAGGAUGGUAGAAUUCCAGGUGUAGCUGUGAAAUGCGUAGAGAUCUGGAGGAAUACCGAUGGCGAAGGCAGCCAUCUGGCCUAAUACUGACGCUGAGGUACGAAAGCAUGGGGAGCAAACAGGAUUAGAUACCCCCGUAGUCCCUGUCUCUUAUAC
RNAcentral lists this ribosomal RNA (305 nucleotides) under uncultured bacterium. RNAcentral describes it as "partial 16S ribosomal RNA". It matches the Rfam family "Bacterial small subunit ribosomal RNA", at positions 508 to 807 of the family's 1533-position model. The record is from RNAcentral.